Small nuclear RNA from Portunus trituberculatus (swimming crab), 112 nucleotides. RefSeq annotates it as U5 spliceosomal RNA. NCBI's taxonomy places the organism in Eukaryota, Metazoa, Arthropoda, Malacostraca, Decapoda, Portunidae. The transcript has a single exon. The record is from RefSeq and is a predicted model, not a curated record.
UAACUCUGGGUUCCCUUGAAAAUGCUUAAAUCUUUUGCCUUUACUGAAGAUUUCUGUGGAGGGGAACAACUCAAUGAGUUAAAUUUUUAUUGUUUCACCUAGUGGGCUGCAU